GGUGAGUAAUGUCUGGGAAACUGCCUGAUGGAGGGGGAUAACUACUGGAAACGGUAGCUAAUACCGCAUAACGUCGCAAGACCAAAGAGGGGGACCUUCGGGCCUCUUGCCAUCGGAUGUGCCCAGAUGGGAUUAGCUAGUAGGUGGGGUAACGGCUCACCUAGGCGACGAUCCCUAGCUGGUCUGAGAGGAUGACCAGCCACACUGGAACUGAGACACGGUCCAGACUCCUACGGGAGGCAGCAGUGGGGAAUAUUGCACAAUGGGCGCAAGCCUGAUGCAGCCAUGCCGCGUGUAUGAAGAAGGCCUUCGGGUUGUAAAGUACUUUCAGCGGGGAGGAAGGGAGUAAAGUUAAUACCUUUGCUCAUUGACGUUACCCGCAGAAGAAGCACCGGCUAACUCCGUGCCAGCAGCCGCGGUU
This 421-nucleotide ribosomal RNA is filed under the name uncultured soil bacterium. Its description in RNAcentral is "bacterial SSU rRNA". It matches the Rfam family "Bacterial small subunit ribosomal RNA", at positions 105 to 522 of the family's 1533-position model. The record is from RNAcentral.